AAACUUUCAACAACGGAUCUCUUGGUUCUGGCAUCGAUGAAGAACGCAGCGAAAUGCGAUAAGUAAUGUGAAUUGCAGAAUUCAGUGAAUCAUCGAAUCUUUGAACGCACAUUGCGCCCUCUGGUAUUCCGGGGGGCAUGCCUGUUCGAGCGUCANU
Molecule: ribosomal RNA, 157 nt
Filed under: Mycocalicium sp. Tibell 17604
Lineage: Eukaryota; Fungi; Ascomycota; Eurotiomycetes; Mycocaliciales; Mycocaliciaceae
Description: 5.8S ribosomal RNA
Rfam family: 5.8S ribosomal RNA
About the family: 5.8S ribosomal RNA (5.8S rRNA) is a component of the large subunit of the eukaryotic ribosome. It is transcribed by RNA polymerase I as part of the 45S precursor that also contains 18S and 28S rRNA. Functionally, it is thought that 5.8S rRNA may be involved in ribosome translocation.
Source: RNAcentral